Molecule: ribosomal RNA, 496 nt
Filed under: uncultured bacterium
Lineage: Bacteria
Description: partial 16S ribosomal RNA
Rfam family: Bacterial small subunit ribosomal RNA
Source: RNAcentral
GAUGAACGCUGGCGGCGUGCCUAAUACAUGCAAGUCGAGCGAACAGACGAGGAGCUUGCUCCUCUGACGUUAGCGGCGGACGGGUGAGUAACACGUGGAUACCUACCUAUAAGACUGGGAUAACUUCGGGAAACCGGAGCUAAUACCGGAUAAUAUAUUGAACCGCAUGGUUCAAUAGAGAAAGACGGUUUUGCUGUCACUUAUAGAUGGAUCCGCGCCGCAUUAGCUAGUUGGUAAGGUAACGGCUUACCAAGGCAACGAUGCGUAGCCGACCUGAGAGGGUGAUCGGCCACACUGGAACUGAGACACGGUCCAGACUCCUACGGGAGGCAGCAGUAGGGAAUCUUCCGCAAUGGGCGAAAGCCUGACGGAGCAACGCCGCGUGAGUGAUGAAGGUCUUCGGAUCGUAAAACUCUGUUAUUAGGGAAGAACAAAUGUGUAAGUAACUAUGCACGUCUUGACGGUACCUAAUCAGAAAGCCACGGCUAACUACGUG